This 253-nucleotide ribosomal RNA is filed under the name uncultured bacterium. Its description in RNAcentral is "partial 16S ribosomal RNA". It matches the Rfam family "Bacterial small subunit ribosomal RNA", at positions 524 to 776 of the family's 1533-position model. The record is from RNAcentral.
UACGUAGGGCGCAAGCGUUGUCCGGAAUUAUUGGGCGUAAAGAGCUCGUAGGCGGCUUGUCACGUCGGGUGUGAAAGCCCGGGGCUUAACCCCGGGUCUGCAUUCGAUACGGGCUGGCUAGAGUGUGGUAGGGGAGAUCGGAAUUCCUGGUGUAGCGGUGAAAUGCGCAGAUAUCGGGAGGAACACCCGUAGCGAAGGCGGCACUCUGGGCCGGUACUGACGCUGAGGAGCGAAAGCGUGGGGAGCAAACAGG